Molecule: unclassified non-coding RNA, 257 nt
Filed under: Hevea brasiliensis (rubber tree)
Lineage: Eukaryota; Viridiplantae; Streptophyta; Magnoliopsida; Malpighiales; Euphorbiaceae
Source: RNAcentral
GGGAAAUCAACGGUCUAAACGAGCAGCUCGAUGAGGAUGCUCGCUGCUUGGAACAUCUUCAACUUCAGCUUCUGCAAGAAAAGAGCAAAAGAUCAGAAGUUGAAAGAGAAAAUGCAAUGCUGCAUGAUCAAAUAAACAUGCUAAUGAGCAUGCUAGACAAUGAAGGAGCAGAUGGCUCAGAUGAACCCUAAUAAUAUCAUCCUAUGUAUACUUCUUUGUUUCUUUAAUAUUCUUUCUUGUAGAUUAUGUGGUGUGGG